ACUAGGGUUUUUCGAAACCCUAACAUUCCCCUCUUCGCUCUCUCUCUCUAGGGUUUCUGGGAACUACUCGCUCGAAGGAGGGGGAAAUGGAGCCCUCCCCGUCUUCGUCUUCUUCUUCUCCGCCCGCUCCCUCCUCCUCCUCCGCCCCCUCCCGGUGCUCGGAGCAGAGGAAGCUGUUCGUCGGCGGGAUCCCGUCGGCGACGACGGAGGAGAAGCUCAAGGAGCACUUCGAGAAGUACGGGGAGGUUAGGGAGGUGGCGGUGAUGCGGGAUCGGAUCACGAAGAACGGUAGAGGGUUCGGAUUCGUCCAGUUCGCGGAUCCGGGGGCGGCGGAGAGGGUUUUGGACGAGAAGGAGAAGGGAAACCAUGUGAUUUGUGGAAGAGCGGUGGAAGUGAAACAAGCAGAGCCAAGAAGUCAACAGAAUCAGACUCACCGUUCCUCUCAACACCAACAUCCAAAUCAGGGCCAGCAUCAAAAUCAGGGGUCAAAUAGGUUUAGUACUAACAAUAACAGUAAUGGUGGUAUUCAUUCAAAGUCAAAUAAGAUUUUUGUAGGUGGUUUGCCUGAAAGUAUAGAAGCAAAUGAUUUCAGAAGAUAUUUUGAAAAAUUUGGUGUGAUAACCGACGUGGUUGUGAUGUAUGACAAUGAUAAACGGGCAAGAGGAUUUGGGUUCGUUACUUUUGAUUCAGAGGAAUCUGUUGAUGAGGUGAUGCAGGAUAAUUUCCAUGAGUUGAAUGGUAAAUUGGUGGAGGUCAAGAUAGCUGUUCCCAAGAAUGGAAAUAGCCAUAGCAGUAGCAGCAAUCAGAAUUAUGGUAAUUACAAUUCCAGAAAUUUCCAGGAGAGAGGGCAUGCAUAUCAUAACUUUUCUGGUGGUAUGUACCCAUCUUACAAUUGGAGCUAUGGUCCAUAUCACAGUUACUUACUGCCACCACCUAUACAUAUGUAUUAUCACGGAGGCUAUGGUGGGAUGGGCUAUGUCGGCCCGUAUCCUGGCCCAAGAAGCCUUUGGGGCGGCCCUGGAAUGAUGCAAAGGCCGAGUUUUAUUCCAUACGGGAGUAUUUCUGUGUACCAAAGCAAUGCUAAUGGAGCAUUUUCUGGUCAUAAGAGGAAUUUUGGUGAUGCUUAUAGUGGGUUUGCAGGAUUUGGCAACUGCAUGAGUGGUCAAACUCGCCCAGUUAUGCAGUCAGAUGCAGUCAGCAAGGUAGCUGUGCAAAUGGAAAGUGUGAAAUUGGAGGAUCACUGACCUUUUAAUCGCUUCAGACGCCCCAUUAGAUAUAUAAACAGUGCUUUUUUAACUGAAGUAUUUUGUUGCUAUACUUCUGUAUUAUUGCAAGGAAGAGUGACUUAAACAUCAAUUCUUUGGCCCUACAUUUGCGCCUCACUUACAGGAGACUACGUUUACAUCUCACUGUGGAUUCACACUUUGACGCAGCUGAUAAUUCUUGCUGAACAUGUAACAUCGGAAUAAAUUCAAUUUUAUCACCAGUUUGUUGUUAACUUACUGAAGAUUUACCUCGUAGCUUUUACUGCAACUUGGUUUGGACCAAUAUAAAUUUUUUCCUUAAUUAUUAUUAUUAUACUGACUCGGCAAUACAA
This is an RNA transcript of Ananas comosus (pineapple), 1597 nucleotides long. It is a transcript of the gene named heterogeneous nuclear ribonucleoprotein 1-like, with no coding region annotated. The transcript is spliced from 4 exons. Lineage: Eukaryota; Viridiplantae; Streptophyta; Magnoliopsida; Poales; Bromeliaceae. The record is from RefSeq and is a predicted model, not a curated record.